Molecule: long non-coding RNA, 722 nt
Organism: Papaver somniferum (opium poppy)
Lineage: Eukaryota; Viridiplantae; Streptophyta; Magnoliopsida; Ranunculales; Papaveraceae
Exons: 5
Source: RefSeq, a predicted model, not a curated record
GUUUUGACGCACUAUUUCCCCCUAGAAUUUCAGAAUUUUUCUUUUCCCUCAAAACCCUAACUAACCUUACCAUACUGCUUCCUCUUUGUUUACUCUUCUUCUCUUUCCAAGCUCGAACCGUCCGAGAAAAUCCAUGAACACAACUUCACCACUUCCAUCGUUCACCACUGAAAAUUCAAUAAACAAUAAACUUGUCUGGUGAUUUGGGAUUUUCUCUUAUUGAUUUUUCAGAGAUUUUGAAGAUGGAGAAAAAGAUGAUAUAUCGAUUUAUCUUUUUUCCUAUAUUCGUAGACUGAUUUCCGGGGGAGAAAGCAGGAUAGGUUCAAUAACAUGAGGAGAGGGAAACAAGAAGCAGACAGCUGUCCCCAGUCGAGUUCGCCAGGGUUUAUGAAAUUCCUAAACAGAUUAUCCCAGAAUGAAGGAAACAGGAAAGGGACCACCUUCUGCGGAAGAAGAGGACCUGAAGUCGUUAGUGCUCCGUGACAAGGAUGAUAAAUUGACUUCCGAGUUCGGUGAUGAUGAUGAAGUUGUUUCUUUUAUCAAAGCGUUGUUUGAUGCUGGAGUUCACCGUGAUGGAUGCAACUGCACAAGUUGCUCCAACAAUGUUGAGAACCAUCCGUAUUUUGAAACCCAUGGACUUCAAUAAUUGAUGUUUGUGUAUUUGUUUGAAUAGGGGAUUUGUAUGUUUUAACUUGAAUAUCGAGAGGAAGGAGAGAGCAUGG